This 253-nucleotide ribosomal RNA is filed under the name uncultured bacterium. Its description in RNAcentral is "partial 16S ribosomal RNA". It matches the Rfam family "Bacterial small subunit ribosomal RNA", at positions 524 to 776 of the family's 1533-position model. The record is from RNAcentral.
UACGUAGGGUGCAAGCGUUGUCCGGAAUUAUUGGGCGUAAAGAGCUCGUAGGCGGUCUGUCGCGUCUGCUGUGAAAACUCGGGGCUUAACCCCGGGCCUGCAGUGGGCACGCGCAGACUAGAGUGCGGUAGGGGAGACUGGAAUUCCUGGUGUAGCGGUGAAAUGCGCAGAUAUCAGGAGGAACACCGGUGGCGAAGGCGGGUCUCUGGGCCGUAACUGACGCUGAGGGGCGAAAGCAUGGGGAGCGAACAGG